Molecule: long non-coding RNA, 1914 nt
Filed under: Taeniopygia guttata (zebra finch)
Lineage: Eukaryota; Metazoa; Chordata; Aves; Passeriformes; Estrildidae
Description: lncRNA (ENSTGUG00000025493.1)
Source: RNAcentral
GCACACUUUGUGCCCUGUGCACUUACAGGCUGUGCCCAGGUGGGCCUGAAGCAGCUGACGCUGAGGUCUUUCUUCCUUCCUUUCAUACAGGAGGAUAGCCAGGUGCAGUUGAGCUCCAUGUUUAUCUUCCGAGACAUGCUGGAUUGUUUUCUGGAAGAGAAAAAAAAGGCCCUGAAGGCACACGUGCGCCAGAGCCUGCUGCCACUCUCCUUCCACUGCCAUGAUGAGAACCAGCGAGUUGCAGAGGCGAGGACUCGGCAGCUGCUGCUGUUCCCCUGGCAGGGGCUGGGCUGCCUCCUGCCCUGGCACCUCGCAGGCUGCAGCCUCCUGCUGGCCUUGGCACAGGGACGGGUCCUGUGCCCUGGGCUGUGGGGCCAUCUCCGCGUCUCUGCUGCUCUCCAGGCUUCUCAGGAAACGCUGCUUUGUGCAGCCGAGUUCCUGAAGCAGAGGGAUCUCGAAAAGCUGCUGAAGAACCAGAAGCCGUGGAAGUUCACCGAGUGCCUGCUGGCAGAGGACAGCAGCAGCGUGGCCGAGCACCUGCGCCGGGCCCUGCCCUACCUGCAGAGCCCACAGGAGCCCCUGCGAGAGGCGGCCGUCAGGUUCAUGGGUGAGCCACGAGCCGGGCCAGGAGGCCGUGUGGGCACAGGGCUGGCAGCGCCGCUGGCAGGGAGCUGUGCCGCCGGGCCUGACAGGCUCUGUGUUCCCAGGGACGGCCGGGCGGUACCUGAGGGGGAGGAAGGAAGAGCUCCAGCUCAUCUCUGAGGCCCUUGAAGGCAUGGCCAAUGACAUCAGUGUCCCUGUCGCAAGCCUGGCAGUUCAAACAUUGUACGUCCUCCAGGAAGCAGAGAGAGCUCCAUACUCCAUCUUUGACAACCUGCAUGAUCGGCUCCGCAGGGCAUGGAGGAGACGGCCUCGUCUGUCGGGGCUCGGCUGGCUGCGCUGCUGGAGCUCUGCAGAGAGCUGAUCCCAGAGGCUCUGUCUGCUGGGGCCGCCCGAGCCAGCAGGAAUGUUUCGUUUCUUUAAGAUUGUUCUUUUCUUUCUCUUUGUUUUACUUUAGCAUAUAAAUAUAGGAUGUGUUUUAAUAGACAGACUCCCAGGAUCUUUCUUUUGCUGCCCAGGUUCUGCAGGGCCUAGGGGAAGAGGGACAAAAGGGAUCCUGGGCUCAGCAAGCUGCCCAGGCAUGCAGGGUUGCAGGGAAAAUGGCCAGAAGCCCCUUGGCCUUUGGUGGUUCUGCCGAAGCCUUUGUGCUGCCCACAGAGCAGAUGGGCAGGGGCUGGAGCUGUGGGGAUCUCUGUGAGAGCGGUGCCUGGAGAUGGCCACAAGCCCUGUCCCAGGCAGGAAGCGCCAUCCGUGUCCUCCUGCCCGUGUGUUGCUGCCUGGAUUGCUGAGGGCUCCCAGGUGCCUCUGGAUGGGCUCCUCUGGAGCUCCUGUGGGGCUGCGGCGCUGCUGCCGGGCAGGUUGGCCGGGCUGGGGAGAGCCUGAGGGGACGGGGCCACGAAGGGAUGAGGGGCUGCGGAAGCCCUGACAGGACAAGGCAGUGGGAAGGCACGGGGGGGACGUGUGAGGGAGUGGGUAACGUUGGCUCGGGGAGGAAAGUGGGUUGGAGCCAAAGAGACCACUCACCCCGAUGUUCCUGUGGCAAACAGAGCACGUUUAUUCUCAAGCCCUUCCUUCUAAAGGGCCUUUGAAAAACCCAGUCUGGAUGAUUUCACUGGUCUGAUCUCUGUGCCCCUUCAGAUUCUGGCCUGGGGAAUGCCUGCAGCCUUGGGAGAGCUGUGAUGGGCCAGGCCCCUGUCAGUCAAACCAGGGCUGGUACAUUCACCCCGUACAAGCCAGCCUGCACGGUGACACGGCAACAGAGUGCGAGGCACAGCUGCGGGUGCUCCCCGUGAACCUCAGCUCUGGGACCACUGC